AAGGCUCAGUAUAACAGCUAUUAUUUAUUUGAUCGUAAACAUAGUUACUUGGAUAACUGUGGUAAUUCCAGAGCUAAUACAUGCAAACAACAUGGAUCACUGUAGCAAUAUGGUUGAAACGUGUGCUUUUAUUAGAUUAAAACCAUAUCCAUCUCGUAUGGAUUUGUUUUAGAUGAAUCUGGAUAAUUAUGGCUGAUCGUAUGGUCNUGCACCGACGAUAGAUCAUUCAAAUGUCUGCCCUAUCAACUAUUGAUGGUAGUAUAGAGGACUACCAUGGUUGCAACGGGUAACGGGGAAUCAGGGUUCGA
Molecule: ribosomal RNA, 308 nt
Filed under: Sergentomyia distincta
Lineage: Eukaryota; Metazoa; Arthropoda; Insecta; Diptera; Psychodidae
Description: SSU rRNA
Rfam family: Eukaryotic small subunit ribosomal RNA
Source: RNAcentral